UUUUUCUAAGUCCGAGGUGUGGUACACGCCAGGACACUGGGUUACAGACUGGCUAGCUCCACAUGACUACCGGCGCACGGGUGAGUAACGGCGUAUACAAUCUACCUAUUACUGGGGUAUAGCCCGGAGAAAUUUGGAUUAACCCCCCAUGGUAUGUAAAAGUGGCAUCACUUUUACAUUAAAAUUACGGUGGUAAUAGAUGAGUAUGCUUUCCAUUAGUUAGUUGGUAAGGUAACGGCUUACCAAGGCAGCGAUGGGUAGGGGUCCUGAGAGGGAGAUCCCCCACACUGGUACUGAGACACGGACCAGACUCCUACGGGAGGCAGCAAUUGAGGAAAUAUUGGACAAUGGAGGCAACUUUGAUCCAACCAUGCCCCGUGCAGGAAAACUGCCUUAUGGGUUUGUAACCUGCUUUUCCAAAGGAAGAACCCCACCCACCUUGGUGGGGGUUUGACCGGGCCUUUCGAAAAAAAAGGGUUUGGGUUAAUUCCUGGCCACCAACCGCGGGGAAUUUCGGGGGGAUCCCACCCGUUUUCCCG
Molecule: ribosomal RNA, 539 nt
Filed under: uncultured Antarctic soil bacterium
Lineage: Bacteria
Description: partial 16S ribosomal RNA
Rfam family: Bacterial small subunit ribosomal RNA
Source: RNAcentral